Jimgerdemannia flammicorona is the source of this 84-nucleotide non-coding RNA. The record is from the annotation of a GenBank genome assembly. NCBI's taxonomy places the organism in Eukaryota, Fungi, Mucoromycota, Endogonomycetes, Endogonales, Endogonaceae.
GCUCUGGUAGCUCAAAUUGGUAGAGCAACUGAUUUACACAUAUACUGUUUCAGUUGGAUAGUGGUUCGAAUCCACUUCAGGGCA